UGCUAACGCAGCUUUUGCUCUACCUUCCAUGUAGACUCCCUCAAAAGCAAAAGACAGCGGUAGGCACUCCCAGUUUACUGGGACGGGUUGGACUGGGCCCGUCUGCCAUUCCAGCUGCCCGUGCCGUACAGCUCCAGUGGAUCAUUCCUCAUCUGCCUGACUGGUUGUGAGACUGCUAAUCCUGUCCUGUUCCAGCCUGCACACGCCAUUCACCGUCGCUCCUCCACCCCCAGUCACCUUCUGCAAAUAAACCUUCUGUCUCGCGUUGUGACAAAACCACAUUUUUACCGGGGCCGUGAAGGCAACAGCGGGCCGCCAGGCCGCGUGGAAGUGACGUUGGCUAGAGCUAAGGACGCAUCUUAGCGGCCGGCGAGCGGUGGCGUCUGGUUGGAAGUUCUCUACUUAACUUUAUUAUUAAUAGAGUCGUACAGUCGGGUUAGGAGAAGGUAAAGCGUCGGUACAAGUGGAGCAAAUUUUUGGAUAUCACCACGGAGGACAACGUAACGUGGAGCCUUUUCUGUUCCGGAGCUGCCUCUGACUGACGGGCAAACUGACUGACGCUUUGUGUUCCUCGCACCUUAACAACUAUUCCUGGUAGAGAUUAGAGGUGUUGGAGCGGAACGAGUUUGGAACUGAGUUACUUUGAUCACCUUUUGGUGCUGGAGUGAGCCUUGUUGUGAAAAGAGCUGACAGAGUGUCACUAUCCCAAGGGGACUGAGUGUUUGUCUUUAUUUCUCUUUGAUUUAUUGUUUGUUGGACCAUGCCCUGCUUUUCUUAAAAUGUUUCUGACAAUAUAUUUUCUUAAGAGAAACCAAAA
Long non-coding RNA from Micropterus salmoides (largemouth bass), 817 nucleotides. RefSeq lists it as uncharacterized. NCBI's taxonomy places the organism in Eukaryota, Metazoa, Chordata, Actinopteri, Centrarchiformes, Centrarchidae. The record is from RefSeq and is a predicted model, not a curated record. The transcript has 2 exons.